RNAcentral lists this ribosomal RNA (493 nucleotides) under uncultured bacterium. Its description in RNAcentral is "bacterial SSU rRNA". It matches the Rfam family "Bacterial small subunit ribosomal RNA", at positions 903 to 1397 of the family's 1533-position model. The record is from RNAcentral.
AAAUGAAUAGACGGGGACCCGCACAAGCAGCGGAGCAUGUGGUUUAAUUCGAAGCAACGCGAAAAACCUUACCAAGGCUUGACAUCCUGCGCCAUACCCCGAAAAGGGUAUUUCCUUUCGAGGACGCAGAGACAGGUGUUGCAUGGUUGUCGUCAGCUCGUGUCGUGAGAUGUUCGGUUAAGUCCGGUAACGAGCGCAACCUUUAUCCUUAGUUGCCAAUAUUUAGUUAGGAACUCUGAGGAGACUGCCGUAGAUAAUACGGAGGAAGGAGGAGAUGAUGUCAAAUCAUCACGGCCCUUACGCCUUGGGCUACACACGUGCUACAAUGGCUAUUACAAAGAGCAGCAAACCCGCAAGGGGGAGCGAAUCUCAUAAAGAUAGUCUCAGUUCGGAUUGAGGGCUGAAACCCGCCCUCAUGAAGUCGGAGUUGCUAGUAAUCCCGAAUCAGCAUGUCGGGGUGAAUGCGUUCCCGGGUCUUGUACACACCGCCCGU